Molecule: small RNA, 108 nt
Filed under: Marmota monax (woodchuck)
Lineage: Eukaryota; Metazoa; Chordata; Mammalia; Rodentia; Sciuridae
Source: RNAcentral
GCCAGGCACUGUGGCGUACGCCUGUAAUCCCAGUAACCUGGGAGACUGAGGCAGGAGGAUGACAAGUUUUGAGGCCAGCCUGGGCAAUUUAGUGAUACCCUGACUCAA